Molecule: ribosomal RNA, 253 nt
Filed under: uncultured bacterium
Lineage: Bacteria
Description: partial 16S ribosomal RNA
Rfam family: Bacterial small subunit ribosomal RNA
Source: RNAcentral
UACGUAGGUGGCAAGCGUUGUCCGGAUUUACUGGGCGUAAAGAGCGCGCAGGCGGUCGAUUAAGUCGAGUGUGAAAGCCCCCGGCUCAACUGGGGAGGGUCACUUGAUACUGGUCGACUCGAAGGCGGGAGAGGGAAGUGGAAUUCCCGGUGUAGUGGUGAAAUGCGUAGAUAUCGGGAGGAACACCAGUGGCGAAGGCGACUUCCUGGCCCGUUCUUGACGCUGAGGCGCGAAAGCUAGGGGAGCAAACGGG